This 427-nucleotide ribosomal RNA is filed under the name uncultured bacterium. Its description in RNAcentral is "bacterial SSU rRNA". It matches the Rfam family "Bacterial small subunit ribosomal RNA", at positions 355 to 774 of the family's 1533-position model. The record is from RNAcentral.
UGGGGAAUCUUCCGCAAUGGAGGCAACUCUGACGGAGCAACGCCGCGUGAGUGAAGAAGGCCUUCGGGUUGUAAAGCUCUGUUUACAGGGAAGAACCGCCAUAUAAGCAAAUAGAUAUGGUCUGACGGUACCUGUAGAGCAAGCCCUGGCUAACUACGUGCCAGCAGCCGCGGUAACACGUAGAGGGCAAGCGUUGUCCGGAAUCAUUGGGCGUAAAGGGUAAGCAGGCUGGUAUGCAAGUCAAAUGUGAAAGUUGACGGCUCAACCGUCAGAUUGCGUUUGAAACUGCAUAUCUUGAGUGCAGCAGAGGGGAGCGGAAUUCCUGGUGGAGCGGUGAAAUGCGUAGAUAUCAGGAAGAACACCAGUGGCGAAGGCGGCUCUCUGGGCUGCAACUGACGCUGAUUUACGAAAGCCAGGGUAGUCAACG